RNAcentral lists this ribosomal RNA (425 nucleotides) under uncultured bacterium. RNAcentral describes it as "partial 16S ribosomal RNA". It matches the Rfam family "Bacterial small subunit ribosomal RNA", at positions 354 to 796 of the family's 1533-position model. The record is from RNAcentral.
GUGGGGAAUCUUAGACAAUGGGCGCAAGCCUGAUCUAGCCAUGCCGCGUGAGCGAUGAAGGCCUUAGGGUUGUAAAGCUCUUUCAGGGGGGAAGAUAAUGACGGUACCCCCAGAAGAAGCCCCGGCUAACUCCGUGCCAGCAGCCGCGGUAAUACGGAGGGGGCUAGCGUUGUUCGGAAUUACUGGGCGUAAAGCGCACGUAGGCGGACCAGAAAGUCAGGGGUGAAAUCCCGGGGCUCAACCCCGGAACUGCCUUUGAAACUCCUGGUCUUGAGGUCGAGAGAGGUGAGUGGAAUUCCGAGUGUAGAGGUGAAAUUCGUAGUUAUUCGGAGGAACACCAGUGGCGAAGGCGGCUCACUGGCUCGAUACUGACGCUGAGGUGCGAAAGCGUGGGGAGCAAACAGGAUUAGAAACCCUGGUAGUCC